RNAcentral lists this unclassified non-coding RNA (400 nucleotides) under soil metagenome. RNAcentral's name for it is "partial contains 5.8S ribosomal RNA, internal transcribed spacer 2, and large subunit ribosomal RNA". The stretch from base 1 to 121 matches the Rfam family "5.8S ribosomal RNA", at positions 35 to 154 of the family's 154-position model. The record is from RNAcentral.
GAUGAAGAACGCAGCGAAAUGCGAUAAGUAAUGUGAAUUGCAGAAUUCAGUGAAUCAUCGAAUCUUUGAACGCACCUUGCGCCCUUUGGCCAUUCCGAAGGGCAUGCCUGUUUGAGUAUCAUGAACACCUCAACUCUCAUGGCUUGCCAUGAUGAGCUUGGACUUUGGGGGUCUUGCUGGCCUGUGGUCGGCUCCUCUCAAAUGAAUCAGCUUGCCAGUGUUUGGUGGCAUCACAAGUGUGAUAACUAUCUGCGCUCGUGGUUUCCAUCAGAUAACCUCCAGUGAUGGAGGUUCGCUGGAGCUCAUAAAUGUCUCUCCUAAGCGAGGACAGCUCUUUUAAUGUUUGAUCUCAAAUCAGGUAGGACUACCCGCUGAACUUAAGCAUAUCAAAAGCGGAGGA